This 446-nucleotide ribosomal RNA is filed under the name uncultured bacterium. RNAcentral describes it as "SSU rRNA". It matches the Rfam family "Bacterial small subunit ribosomal RNA", at positions 26 to 518 of the family's 1533-position model. The record is from RNAcentral.
AGAGCGAACGCUGGCGGCAGGCCUAAUACAUGCAAGUCGAACGGAUCCUUCGGGAUUAGUGGCGGACGGGUGAGUAACACGUGGGAACGUGCCCUUUGGUUCGGAACAACUCAGGGAAACUUGAGCUAAUACCGGAUGUGCCCUUCGGGGGAAAGAUUUAUCGCCAUUGGAGCGGCCCGCGUCUGAUUAGCUAGUUGGUGGGGUAAAGGCCUACCAAGGCUACGAUCAGUAGCUGGUCUGAGAGGAUGAUCAGCCACACUGGGACUGAGACACGGCCCAGACUCCUACGGGAGGCAGCAGUAGGGAAUCUUGCGCAAUGGGCGAAAGCCUGACGCAGCCAUGCCGCGUGAAUGAUGAAGGUCUUAGGAUUGUAAAAUUCUUUCAGUGGGGACGAUAAUGACGGUACCACAGAAGAACGCCCGGCUAACUUCGCGCCAGCAGCCGAC